CUAUAGCCCAAGGCCUUAAUGGGAGCCCUUGACUAAUGCCCAUCGUUCCCCUCAUCAGGAUUGUGGGCCCAUGGGUUCUGCAGGAACCGAUUGUCCCCCUGGGUGCAUGGAUAACUGUGGAGGGAAAUCUCCAGAUGGGCACCCAACUCAUAAAAAGUGCGAGCGGCCGGGACAACAGGGUUGGCCACAUGCAUAGCAAGAGGUGCUGGUGGGUGGGGGCUUUGAGCAAUACUGGUCUCCAGUCCAGAGGCGAGGGUGUUGGCAACGGGGAGCUGCAUGGCAGGAGAUGGAUUUAUGUGUGUCAGCUUCAUGCGGGAGUCGACUUCCAGAAAGUCGUGCAGAUAUCAUCAAAGGUGACAAGAUACUUGGCCUCCCAGUUGCUCACGAGUAACUCCGUCGAUGUGUUGGCCAUUUUGACUGUGCCACGAGGGCUUGCUGUGGUUGGGCAGGCAGUCACAGUAGUGCUCAGUAGUAGUUUCCCCGGUGGGGACAGGGAUAUCCCCCACAGGUCCCAGGCUGAAAGAUUGGCUGUUUCUCCCCUCUGUAAGUUAAGCCAGGUGAGUAGGUCGCAGUAGCCAUUGCAGGCUGCAGGCUAGAUAAUGGGACGCCAAGAUCACUCCAAAGUGCUCCCAAGAAGUCAGGAUCAAGUCAGUAAUCGCUUGGGUAAGUGGGAAUGUGACUUCGUCUCAAUCUUGUAGAUUAUAGGAAUUGUGUGUGAAGCCCACACAAAACACGUCUGUCAGCCAUGAUGGUUAGGCCCCCCAUCCAAUCUUUUUUAGCCGCCUCUUUGUCACAAACCCUAGCCAACGUUAUUGUCAUUUGUUUUUGGCAUUUUCCACACAGAAAUCUACACUUUUAUUGAUGAUAUUAUUGUUAUUAUCCAUCUUAGUGCUAUAAGACACUCACCUUUGUCUGUGAGUGUCUCAC
Non-coding RNA from Pelobates cultripes (western spadefoot toad), 927 nucleotides. NCBI's taxonomy places the organism in Eukaryota, Metazoa, Chordata, Amphibia, Anura, Pelobatidae. The record is from the annotation of a GenBank genome assembly.